Molecule: ribosomal RNA, 253 nt
Filed under: uncultured bacterium
Lineage: Bacteria
Description: partial 16S ribosomal RNA
Rfam family: Bacterial small subunit ribosomal RNA
Source: RNAcentral
UACGGAGGGUGCGAGCGUUGUCCGGAAUUACUGGGCGUAAAGAGCUCGUAGGUGGUUUGUCGCGUUGUUCGUGAAAACUCACAACUCAAUUGUGGGCGUGCGGGCGAUACGGGCAGACUGGAGUACUGCAGGGGAGACUGGAAUUCCUGGUGUAGCGGUGGAAUGCGCAGAUAUCAGGAGGAACACCGGUGGCGAAGGCGGGUCUCUGGGCAGUAACUGACGCUGAGGAGCGAAAGCGUGGGGAGCGAACAGG